This 1166-nucleotide ribosomal RNA is filed under the name bacterium. RNAcentral describes it as "bacterial SSU rRNA". It matches the Rfam family "Bacterial small subunit ribosomal RNA", at positions 48 to 1196 of the family's 1533-position model. The record is from RNAcentral.
GUAGUACUGCAAGUCGAGCGGACCGACGGGAGCUUGCUCCCUUAGGUCAGCGGCGGACGGGUGAGUAACACGUGGGUAACCUGCCUGUAAGACUGGGAUAACUCCGGGAAACCGGGGCUAAUACCGGAUGCUUGAUUGAACCGCAUGGUUCAAUCAUAAAAGGUGGCUUUUAGCUACCACUUACAGAUGGACCCGCGGCGCAUUAGCUAGUUGGUGAGGUAACGGCUCACCAAGGCGACGAUGCGUAGCCGACCUGAGAGGGUGAUCGGCCACACUGGGACUGAAACACGGCCCAGACUCCUACGGGAGGCAGCAGUAGGGAAUCUUCCGCAAUGGACGAAAGUCUGACGGAGCAACGCCGCGUGAGUGAUGAAGGUUUUCGGAUCGUAAAACUCUGUUGUUAGGGAAGAACAAGUACCGUUCGAAUAGGGCGGCACCUUGACGGUACCUAACCAGAAAGCCACGGCUAACUACGUGCCAGCAGCCGCGGUAAUACGUAGGUGGCAAGCGUUGUCCGGAAUUAUUGGGCGUAAAGCGCGCGCAGGCGGUUUCUUAAGUCUGAUGUGAAAGCCCCCGGCUCAACCGGGGAGGGUCAUUGGAAACUGGGGAACUUGAGUGCAGAAGAAGAGAGUGGAAUUCCACGUGUAGCGGUGAAAUGCGUAGAGAUGUGGAGGAACACCAGUGGCGAAGGCGACUCUCUGGUCUGUAACUGACGCUGAAGCGCGAAAGCGUGGGGAGCGAACAGGAUUAGAUACCCUGGUAGUCCACGCCGUAAACGAUGAGUGCUAAGUGUUAGAGGGUUUCCGCCCUUUAGUGCUGCAGCAAACGCAUUAAGCACUCCGCCUGGGGAGUACGGUCGCAAGACUGAAACUCAAAGGAAUUGACGGGGGCCCGCACAAGCGGUGGAGCAUGUGGUUUAAUUCGAAGCAACGCGAAGAACCUUACCAGGUCUUGACAUCCUCUGACAACCCUAGAGAUAGGGCUUCCCCUUCGGGGGCAGAGUGACAGGUGGUGCAUGGUUGUCGUCAGCUCGUGUCGUGAGAUGUUGGGUUAAGUCCCGCAACGAGCGCAACCCUUGAUCUUAGUUGCCAGCAUUCAGUUGGGCACUCUAAGGUGACUGCCGGUGACAAACCGGAGGAAAGGGGGGGAUGAAGUCAAAUCAUCCU